RNAcentral lists this long non-coding RNA (1783 nucleotides) under Mytilus galloprovincialis (Mediterranean mussel). The record is from RNAcentral. Lineage: Eukaryota; Metazoa; Mollusca; Bivalvia; Mytilida; Mytilidae.
UGAGAUUUUUCUAUAUUUUAUUUUCUAUAUAAUAAUCUGCAGAUAAGUAUUAGGUACAAUUCACAACAUUUAAUUAAUACAAAAAUCCUUCAGGAAAAAAUGUGAAUAUUCAAAAACCACAAUUAUCAUAAAUACAGGUAUUAUAAACCCCUAAAUAUUAUAAAUAACAGGAUAAAAUCCCUAUAUCCAUCUACAAAUAGACAAAGCCAUAUCAUAAUGGGAGAAAAUCCCCAAAAUCAACAAAGCCACAAGAAAGCUCCAGCUUAUAAGAUAAUAUCAAACUGUUUACAGCAACUUUAAUGGCUGAAAACAUCUCACUGAAUGCUCCAGCUAACAAUGCUGAUAACAAUUUAGUUAAAACUCCAGCUAAGAAGGCUCAUAACAGCUAUGUGAAUGUUCCAGCUAGCUAUAUAUCUAUAUAGUAAAGCUGACAACUGUCUAGAUAUAAAAGUCAUAAUUAUUAAUUCAUUUGAGGAAAACAAAACUUUUGAUUAGUUCUAUCACACCUAUUUCUAUGAAAAUUAAACAAUCCAAUACUUUGUCUUCUGUAGGCUAAUUUUUAGAACAAAAAGAAAACAAAAUAAUAUUUCUUCUCUUACAAUGUAUUGAUGCUGUCUCACACACAAGUAACAAUAAUUCUGGGUAAUAUUUUACAUUCACCAAAACUACACCAAGUUAUUGACCAGUGAAAUGACCUAUGGACCCUUAUAUCGCUAUGUUUUGGGGUGAGAAAAUCAAUAAUCAAUGAUAUUCUAUAAAUAUAAACAAUUGCACACAUAGAUAAAUGUAAAUCUAUAAAAUAAUAACCUCUUAUUAUUGUGGUCAUAUAAUAUUAAACAUUAUUGCAGUUUAUAUAAAAAGUCAAACAAGAUGGGGUACUGUAAGAUCAUAAAACAUUUGUGAUGUUUUUACUAUUGUGAGAAUUAAGGACAGGUUUUGCAAAAAAAAAACUUAAAUUGCAUUCUUAAUUUUGUUGGCAUUAUUUGUUAGCAUCAUUUCCUUAAAUACUUAAACUUACAGUGAGUCAAAUGUUCAACAAUCACAAUAGUAAAUACAUGUACUAAUUAAUAGUAAAUACAUGUACAAAUUAAUAGUAAAUACAUGUACUAAUUAAAUAGUAAAAUUAAUAGUAAACAAUCAUAAUGGAACAAUUAUAGUAAAUACCAUCGUUACACAAUUUAAUAGUACAUACAAUGUACAAAUUGAAAUAGUAAAAUACACAUGUACCUAAUUAAGUAAAUACAUGUAACAAAUUAAAUAAGUAAAUACAUGUACUAAAUUAAAGUAAAUCAUGUUGACAAAUAUUAAAAGAAAGUACAUCGUAUAAUAUAAUGGACAUAACAUGUACAAAUUAAUUAGACUAACAUGAUACAAAUUUAGUACAUACAUGUACAAAAUUUAUAGUACAAGAACAUUACCCAUUGUACAUACAAAUUAAAUAGGUACAUACAUGUUAACAAAUAUAGUAAAUACAUGUACAAAUUAAAAGUACAAAUAACAAUGUACAUACAAAUUAAUAGUACUAACACAAUACAAAUCUAAUAGUACAUCAUGUUUGUAACAAAUAAUUAAUAGGAAUACAUGUACAAUUAAAUAGUACAAUACAUGUACCAUACAAAUUAAAUAGUACAAAACAUACAAUUAAUAGUACAACUACAUGUACAAAAUAAAUAGUACAACAAAAUAAUACCAUGUACAUGAGACAAAUUAUAGUACAUACAUGUACAAAUUAAUAGUAAAUAUACAUGUACAGAAUGACUAGAAUACUUCUACAAUAUAAAAU